UACGUAGGGCGCAAGCGUUGUUCGGAGUUACUGGGCGUAAAGGGUGCGUAGGCGGCUUUUUGAGUUUGGUGUGAAAUCUCCCGGCUCAACUGGGAGGGUGCGCCGAAUACUGAGAAGCUAGAGUGUGGGAGAGGAAAGUGGAAUUCCUGGUGUAGCGGUGAAAUGCGUAGAUAUCAGGAGGAACACCAAUAGCGAAGGCAGCUCGCUGGGACGUUACUGACACUGAGGCGCGAAAGCGUGGGGAGCGAACAGG
This 253-nucleotide ribosomal RNA is filed under the name uncultured bacterium. RNAcentral's name for it is "partial 16S ribosomal RNA". It matches the Rfam family "Bacterial small subunit ribosomal RNA", at positions 524 to 776 of the family's 1533-position model. The record is from RNAcentral.